ACCCUUUUUUGGUUCAUAAACAUGAUGAUUGGGUGUUCAUGCCAUUCUGUGACAUGUGCCUCCUCAAAACCUUGUUAUAACAUCAGUGUAUUACUCAUUUGGUG
Nannospalax galili (Upper Galilee mountains blind mole rat) is the source of this 104-nucleotide small nucleolar RNA. RefSeq annotates it as small nucleolar RNA U13. The transcript has a single exon. Lineage: Eukaryota; Metazoa; Chordata; Mammalia; Rodentia; Spalacidae. The record is from RefSeq and is a predicted model, not a curated record.